AAAGCGAGCGGCGGAUGGGUGAGUAACACGUGGGGAACCUGCCCCAUAGUCUGGGAUACCACUUGGAAACAGGUGCUAAUACCGGAUAAGAAAGCAGAUCGCAUGAUCAGCUUUUAAAAGGCGGCGUAAGCUGUCGCUAUGGGAUGGCCCCGCGGUGCAUUAGCUAGUUGGUAAGGUAAAGGCUUACCAAGGCGAUGAUGCAUAGCCGAGUUGAGAGACUGAUCGGCCACAUUGGGACUGAGACACGGCCCAAACUCCUACGGGAGGCAGCAGUAGGGAAUCUUCCACAAUGGACGCAAGUCUGAUGGAGCAACGCCGCGUGAGUGAAGAAGGUUUUCGGAUCGUAAAGCUCUGUUGUUGGUGAAGAAGGAUAGAGGUAGUAACUGGCCUUUAUUUGACGGUAAUCAACCAGAAAGUCACGGCUAACUACGUGCCAGCAGCCGCGGUAAUACGUAGGUGGCAAGCGUUGUCCGGAUUUAUUGGGCGUAAAGCGAGCGCAGGCGGAAGAAUAAGUCUGAUGUGAAAGCCCUCGGCUUAACCGAGGAACUGCAUCGGAAACUGUUUUUCUUGAGUGCAGAAGAGGAGAGUGGAACUCCAUGUGUAGCGGUGGAAUGCGUAGAUAUAUGGAAGAACACCAGUGGCGAAGGCGGCUCUCUGGUCUGCAACUGACGCUGAGGCUCGAAAGCAUGGGUAGCGAACAGGAUUAGAUACCCUGGUAGUCCAUGCCGUAAACGAUGAGUGCUAAGUGUU
Molecule: ribosomal RNA, 750 nt
Filed under: uncultured bacterium
Lineage: Bacteria
Description: bacterial SSU rRNA
Rfam family: Bacterial small subunit ribosomal RNA
Source: RNAcentral